Peromyscus maniculatus bairdii (prairie deer mouse) is the source of this 430-nucleotide non-coding RNA. Lineage: Eukaryota; Metazoa; Chordata; Mammalia; Rodentia; Cricetidae. The record is from RefSeq and is a predicted model, not a curated record.
AACUGACCAAGGCAGAAGCAAGUCAUUAGCUGAGAGGCUGGCCCUACUGAGAAGACGCUGAGGGAAGCAGCUUUUAUGGACCGAGGCAAACAGCAUUCCAUGUGGACGGACAUGCUGAGCAUUCUGUGCAUGUGGACAAGCUGCGGCCUAUGACAUCAUGUGUCCACAGUUGCCUUGAUAUAAUCUGGAACAGGACUGGAAAAAAUACAUGAGGAAAAAGAUCAUCACUGGAACAAGCUCAUUAAUCACAGAUCCAAUUACACUAAUAACCUGGCAGCGAAACCUCAUCAGAGUUAGUUUGGGCCAGCCUAGCAGAUCCACCAAGCCAUCUCCCCAGGGACCAGCUUCAUUCUGUUGACACAGGGUCUUGAAACUCAGCUCAGACAGACCUGAAAUGUAGCCCAGGCUAGAUUCAAACUCAGGAUCAUCC